UACGUAGGGGGCGAGCGUUGUCCGGAAUUAUUGGGCGUAAAGGGCGUGUAGGCGGUUCUGUAAGUUGGAUGUUAAAGGUAUGGGCUCAACUCAUACAUCGCGUCCAAUACUGCAGUUCUGGAGAUUGGUAGAGGGAAACGGAACUUCCGGUGUAGCGGUGAAAUGCGUAGAUAUCGGAAGGAACACCAGUGGCGAAGGCGGUUUCCUGGGCCAAUUCUGACGCUGAGGCGCGAAAGCUAAGGGAGCAAACAGG
RNAcentral lists this ribosomal RNA (253 nucleotides) under uncultured bacterium. Its description in RNAcentral is "partial 16S ribosomal RNA". It matches the Rfam family "Bacterial small subunit ribosomal RNA", at positions 524 to 776 of the family's 1533-position model. The record is from RNAcentral.